AUUGAACGCUGGCGGCAGGCUUAACACAUGCAAGUCGAGCGGGGUGAUGGUGCUUGCACUAUCACUUAGCGGCGGACGGGUGAGUAAUGCUUAGGAAUCUGCCUAUUAGAGGGGGACAACAUCUCGAAAGGGAUGCUAAUACCGCAUACGUCCUACGGGAGAAAGCAGGGGAUCACUUGUGACCUUGCGCUAAUAGAUGAGCCUAAGUCGGAUUAGCUAGUUGGUGGGGUAAAGGCCUACCAAGGCGACGAUCUGUAGCGGGUAUGAGAGGAUGAACCGCCACACUGGGACUGAGACACGGCCCAGACUCCGACGGGAGGCAGCAGUGGGGAAUAUUGGACAAUGGGGGGAACCCUGAACCAGCCAUGCCGCGUGUGUGAAGAAGGCCUUAUGGUUGUAAAGCACUUUAAGCGAGGAGGAGGCUCUUUUGGUUAAUACCCAAGAUGAGUGGACGUUACUCGCAGAAUAAGCACCGGCUAACUCUGUGCCAGCCGCCGCCGUAA
This 503-nucleotide ribosomal RNA is filed under the name uncultured bacterium. RNAcentral's name for it is "partial 16S ribosomal RNA". It matches the Rfam family "Bacterial small subunit ribosomal RNA", at positions 30 to 523 of the family's 1533-position model. The record is from RNAcentral.